AAUACCUUAUAACCAUUAAGACUCUUCAUGCUACUCUCUGGUAAACUUUCAGGGAACCAAUUUCCUUUUAGUACUCUGAUCAACGGCCACAUAAUGCCCCAUGAAACCACAGCACCAAAAAGCAACGAUAAAUUGACAAGGUGAGAACAGAUCAUUCCUGCUCCAACAUAUGUCAUGCUGAAAUCAAAGUAAAAUCUGCAAAAAAAUAUCAAACAUUCUUGUCAGAUUCAUAAAACAUAAAAGAGAGUUAAAGCAAUUGAAGUUAAAGGACCGGUUCAAACUCAGGCUACAGAGAAAAUACUAACAUUACAACUCAUAUACUAACAUUUACUUAUUAAAAAAAGAGAGAAAUGGAAUCAAAGCGCACACGUGUUUUUCCACGCUUUCAACCCGAAAGUAGGAAACUGAGCAAAUUCGCAUUGGCCAUCACCCGCAUAGAACCAUUGGAAGAAAGACCAAAGCAAACUGAAUGAGAAGAAUUGCAUGAAACCCUUAACCUGCUUCCUGUGAAAGAUGCCAAAUUAGUUUUAUAUGUUUUCAUCUUGAAAUAACAAAUAGAGUUCAAAUAACAUAAACAUAAUUGGUUUCAUAAUCAUACUUGGCCAUGACAUUUCCUUUAGGAGUAUGGAAUCCAUUAAUAAGAACACCUGUAGCAGUUCCACUUGGAUAAGGUAAUUUAGAGUCUAUUAUCAUCAUCUGUUAAAUAACAUAGCAAACAAUAUUCCAGUUAGUCUAAACCCAAUUCAUCUUAAACUGAAUAUUGUUUGCUACUUGAAUAUUCAAGUUAGUUCCACUGAAUAAUGUAGUGAUUGUAGGAAAUUUUGACUGUAAUUUUGUCAAUCGUAGACUGCAAAAAUUAGCUGUUUGCUCAAAAUCGUAAAGUAAUUGUAAUUUGACCGCACAAAAUCCAGAUUCAUUCAUAACCAAUACCUUUCUAAAGGGUAUUAAUGCUGUCAGCCCAACAAAGUAAGUAACAAAGAGAAAGCCAGUCAUCCAGCUAAUUCCAGGCUCCUUGGUGUCAGGAGUAUUCCCCGGUGUACUAGCCCCCCCAACUCGCUCAUAUGUCGCCCUAUUCAAUCCCAAAAGGUAAGAUCCAAAACCACCUAUAAAUAAACAAGUAAAAUUUAGAAAAUAAGGGAAAUGUUCCACUUGCAGUUCUUAUUUAUACAAACAAAAUAGAAAUUAAAUAAUGACUUUUAAGCAAGUUGUUUGACUCAAGUGGUUAAUUAAUGAGCUUCACUAAAGGUUUAAUUUCUCGGGAGUAACCAAGGUCGAACCCUGGACUAAUCCUGACAAGAGUUUACUUAUCUCCUGACCGAACUCCGGAUUACCAGGGAUCCAUUCCCCUAGGAACUGGAGGAUUAAAAGCAAUCUUCUUUUAGAAAAUAAUUCAUUUUAAACUGUAAACAAAGACAUUGAAUAGAAAAUAAAACAAAAACUCACCUCAAAAAGAUGCACUGUAACAUGCAACAGCACAAGUCUGAAUUAUGGUAUUUUCCUGUCUAGUGAAAGGUGUUGAAGCAAUAUUUGCUUUCUCAAGAAUCUUAGUCCAAAGUUUGAUGAACACAAAGCCAAGAAGUGCUACUGAAACAUUGAGAUUAGGGACUAGACCAGUUGUGAGGUUCAGCUUCAUCACAAUCACACUAUAAACUAUGCCAAUAAGGAUGCUUGCUAUUAGUCCUCUAAUUGUGAUCUGUUUCAUCCAUGGUGCUACUCUACUUGCAUCUUCUAACUCAUCUCCAACCUUUUCUAUGUCAUCUCUCUCCAAAAUUUCAAUCUCUUUAAGUUCUUGCUCAUCAUUGCUUACACUGCCCAUUGGAAUUAUCAAAUCCUUCAAAGAAAAGAGAUUAAAUAUUAUUAGUCCUCCAAACAUAUCAGAAUCAAUUCUACCCAAUUGGAUGAGUAUAUCUAGAUGACACGAUGUAUUUACAUGCGUAGAUGAUGUACUGUUGUCACGACCCAAUUUCAGGCCAUGACCGGCGCACAGGCUAACACUAACUCAUGAUAUAUUUAGCCUGACAAGCCUAAUAAACUAUAACACUUGCACGUUUCUAAAAUACUGAAAUUUUGGUAAUGACUCACAAAAUUUCAGGACAUUUCAAAAUACAAGUUUAUUAUCACAAAGUAUAUAAAAUCUAUCUCAUUAUUUAUAUAUAGACUUUAAAGAAAAGAACAUUCAUUAUCUCAAUAGUUACAUCAUAAGUAAAUCACAAAAUUGGUCAAGAUAGAGGUCUACCGCAAGGCAUAGAUGUUUUUGGUAGACAUGAAAACUCUAUGAGAUUAAUCAUUUGCAAUCUGUGAAAAGAAAUGAAACCAAAGAAAUGGUGAGUCACAAUAAUUCAAUGAGAGCAUGACAAACAAAGUGGACAUAAUGGAUAGGUGAAAAUUUCACCGGUCUUUACCCAAACAAUUUUUAAACUAAAAAUUUCAUCAUUUGGAAACUCAUUCAUGCCCAAAAAAAAUACUUGCAAUAUCCACGUCAAUACUAUUCGACAAAAACUCAUACUAUUCGACAAAAACCCUUAGCAUGAACCAAUGAUUAGUCAUAUAUAAAGUUCUACAACCACAUGUUCAAAUGAAUAAAUAAAAACAACCAUUUCAACAUGACUAAGAUCAAUUAUCUCUUUUCACUAUUUGUACAUAAACCACAUUAUCUCUUCGUUGUGGUGAACGGAGAUUACCACAUUAUCUCUUCGUUGUGGCGAACGGAGAUUAACCACAUUAUCUCUUCGUUGUGGCAAACGGAGAUUACCACAUUAUCUCUUCGUUGUGGCGAACGGACGGAGAUUAACCACAUUAUCUCUUCGUUGUGGCGAACGGAGAUUACCACUAAUCUAGGAUUUCAAGUUCAGUCCGUGGAUGAUUUGAAAACUGAGCUUUGAAUUGAUGUAACACUAGUCUAGAAACACUUUAAAGAUAUAGGUGAUACUCAUAAGUGUGAUCAUAUAGUACGCAUAUACAAAAUGAACUGAAUUUUGUAUUACUAAUUUUAAUCGGUCCGAUAUUAUUUAAAUGUGAUUUCCCUAUUCGAAUAGUAAAAACAACAUGUAUUAGCCUAGUGACUGAGCUGAACUGAAAUAAUAUUUAAACCAUAAUCUGCUCAAUGGAGUUCAACACCUGAAACAAUUCCAUUUGACCAUUAUAUCUAAGCGCAGCCAUCAAUAAUAUCCUUAUAUCUAAGUUAAAUUGGAUCUUAAUGAAAUAUGUUCAUUCUUAGAUCAACUUCAUGUUAUGUUGAUAACAAAUAAUGAGCACCUUGAUUUGAAGAAGAGAACAACAUGUUAUGUUCAUUCUAAGAAUAUCAAUAAUGAGAAUAUGAUGUGUGUAUCUUGGUGCAUAAUAAUUUUUUAUGCAUGCUCUUCUUUUAAAGUCUGGUGUCUUAUGCAAUAACUUGCUAUCUCUGAUCAUUUUAUAUUUCAAAUGGAUGACUAUUUAUUUUUAGUACAUUUGACAACACCACGUUUAAAACUGGUUUUUCUGAUGAUCAUUUUAUGUUGUUUUAUAGGAAGGUUUUCUGUUAUGGCAUUUUAUUUGUAUAUACAUAGAUUUAUUUCCUCUUUAUUUGGCAACUGUUUUUCAUAUUUUUUUGUUACUUGGACAGAUUUCAUUUCCUUAGGCAUUAGGAUAGCAACUAAUAGAAUUUAUGGACAUUAGAAUUAUGCUAGCAACACACUCUUCCUAACACACUUUUAUUGGCUGAAAUUUAAUUUGGUUCCACCAAAUUUACGUGGUGUUUGCAUGAUUUAGUGGAAUCGAUUUGAAUUUCAAUGAAUAGAAGAGUACGUUGCUAGCAUCCUCAAAUUGUAUCAAGGCAGCACUAUACCAGACAGAGUUCCGACCAGUUCCUUUAGAAGAAUAUAUUAAAGUUGGUAAUUCCAUUUAUAACAAGAGUAUGGAACUUUCUAGGACAAUUCCAAAAGGAGCUGACCUUGGUGGCAAGGAUCCAGACCACGUUGUUGAACUAUGUAACGAGGUACGCAAUUUGAAGUCACAGUCACAUUUUCUACACCUUGUAAUUUUUCAAGAUGAACAAUUGAUAUUUUUUCAGGUUGUUCAAGAGGGACAAUCAGUGUUAAUAUUUUGCUCUAGCCGUAAGGGUUGUGAAUCAACUGGAAGACAUGUUGCGAAGUUCCUUAAAAGCUUUACUGUUGAUAUUAAUGAGAAUAAUUGUGAGUUUGCUGAUAUUACUUCUGCUAUUAACUCCUUGAGAAAGUGCCCUGCUGGGUUGGACCCAGUACUUGAAGAAACUUUUCCAGCUGGUGUUGCAUUUCACCAUGCCGGCCUUACGGUAGUUCCAUUCUUUUGGUAUUAUGGUUUCCGUCAACAUUGUUACUAGACUUAUAUUUUGGAGUAGAAGUUCAUAUUUGAUCUCAAUGGAAAUGCUAGGUUUAUUUUACCUACCUUUAUGGUUAGCCCGUUUUUAACUGUUCUGAAUUCUAAUAGGUUGAGGAACGAGAGAUUGUUGAAACUUGUUAUCGAAAAGACCUUUUACGCGUCUUAACUGCCACAUCCACCUUAGCAGCCGGAGUUAAUCCACCAGCUAGGAGGGUAAUUUUCCGCCAACCUAGAAUUGGUUGUGAUUUUAUUGAUGGGACGAGGUACAUGCAGAUGGCGGGUCGUGCUGGUCGAACUUGAAUCGAUACAAAAGGAGAAAGUGUAUGACUUUUUCUGUUAUAUCCUCAACUAUUAUACAUUAGUCUAUGUGUGGUUUUUAUAGGUUGUUGUGCUGAAUGUUGAUUGAUUGUUGAGAGUUUCUAUGCUUUGGUAUACUAUUUAUUGACUACUAUUUUUGUUUUUUUCAUUGACCCUUGGUUGUACUUAUCAUAUGUUGUGUUUUUCUUUCUCUUUCAUUUUACAUUGAUAUCAUGAUUUAUUUUGGCAUGUCUACGUGGCUUUGACUGUAGUCUUUCAUUUUAAUUAAUUAGGUGAGUCAAAUGUUUUGCUGAUUUGCGUAGGUAGUCAUCUGCAAACCACAAGAGCUAAAAAAAGUUAUGGGACUUCUGAAUGAAAGUUGUCCACCGUUACAUUCCUGUUUAUCAGAAGAUUUAAAUGGGAUGAUUCAUGCAAUCUUAGAAGUGGUUGCUGGAGGAAUAGUUCAAACGACCAAUGACAUUCACCGGUAUGUAAGAUGUACUCUUUUGAACUCCACAAAACCAUUUCUGGACGUGAUAAAAUCUGCUCAAGAAUCUCUAAGAUGGUUGUGCCAAAGAAAAUUUCUUGAAUGGAAUGAAGACACUAAACUCUACAGCACCACACCUCUUGGACGUGCAUCUUUUGGCAGUUCUCUCUGUCCGGAAGAAUCACUUGUAAAUGUUUCUGUCUAUACUUUUAUUCAUGGCAUUUGUUCUUUUUAGUCAGCUUUGGUUUUAUUUCUGUACAAGCAUUUUCUACAGUAUUGGUUUGAAUUAUGCUAAACAACAUUAGGUAGUAUAAUCCUGUUGUGAUUGACAUUAAUCCACACAAUGGUUGAUUUUGUAGAUUGUGUUGGCUGAUCUUUCAAGGGAAAGGGAAGGAUUUGUCCUUGCAUCUGACUUGCAUUUGGUUUACUUGGUGACACCAAUUAAUGUUGAUGUUGAGCCAGAUUGGGAAUCGUACUAUGAGCGUUUUGUGAAAUUGUCUCCUCUUGAUCAGGUUAAAAUAAAUUUCCCCGAUCUUAUUUUUCAGCCAACAAUGUUAUUAAACCUUCUUAGAGUUCACCGCAUGUUUACUUUCACCUAUUUUAUGUUGCGUACAUGAUACACCAAUAUUAUUUUGGAAGAAAUUAAUUUAUAAGAAACCAAGUUUUUCAGUAGAAAGAUGUAUGUAUCGGUAGAUUCACCGGUACAUAAAAAGCGUACGAUUGAAUUGUCAUACCACCUCUAUAGAUAUCGAUUGUUGAGUCUUUUAUGUCUGUAGAUUUGAAAUAGUCAUAUAAUCUUGACACAUUUGUAAAUAUUGUUAAUUGUAAUUGUAUUAUGUUUGCAGUCAGUUGGAAAUCGAGUAGGUGUUACAGAACCGUUUUUGAUGCGUAUGGCACAUGGUGUACCAGUGGGUUCAAACAAGUCAAGAUGGUCGAACAAUAAACGACAAAAUCAACAUGGGAUGUCCAGUGGAAUAGUUAACUCGGAUGAUCAAACACUUCGUGUCUGUAGAAGAUUCUAUGUUGCUCUCAUUUUAUCGCUUUUAGUGCAGGUGCUUUUCUCUAGUAUAUGGACGCAGAUAUCUCUCCUGCAAGUUUUUGUCAAUGAAUGAUAUUUUUAUUAAAAAGAAUAUUAAUAAGAAAAAAUAGAAGGGUGGUAUGAAAUACUUGUUGGUUAAAAGUCACAGGACGACAACCAUAAACAAGGAAUGAGAAAAAAAAACAGAAGAUGAUACAAAAUUCUUCUUUGUUAAAAGUCAUAGGACAACGACCACAAACAAGGAAAUAGCAUUAACACAACUUUCCAAUCUCUUUGCUUGUCUAACCACUGAAAAUUUCAGAAAGCGUUUUAUUAGUUAAUUAUGCUUCUGUGUUCUUUAUCUGUCUUUUCUAUUUUCCAUCUUAUCUUUAAAUUUUCAUCAGAGCUAAUAUCAUUUUAUGAAUAAAUGUGAUUUGAUGAAGGAAACUCCUGUGGGUGAGGUUUGUGAAACAUUUAAAGUUGCCAGAGGAAUGGUUCAAGGUUUGCAAGAAAAUGCUGGUCGGUUUGCAUCUAUGGUUGCUGUGUUCUGUGAAAGGCUGGGGUGGCAUGAUUUUGAAGGCUUAGUCGCUAAGUUUUAGAAUCGUGUAUCAUUUGGAGUUAGAGCAGAAGUUGUUGAGCUUACCACCAUUCCCUAUGUUAAAGUAAGUAGCCGAAGUUCCAUGUCAGUUUUACAUACUUCAGAUAACUUGUGUUUUGUUGUUGUUGUUGGUGUUGAAGUACUCACUCUGUUCCCCUGUUUCUUCCAUUCAAUUCGCAGGGCUCUCGAGCAAGAGCACUCUAUAAAGCAGGUUUACGCACACCUCUUGCAAUUGCUGAAGCAUCCAUUCCUGAACUAGUAAAAGCACUUUUUGAAUCUUCAUCAUGGGGCACAGAAGGUAAUGUGCGAAAAUUGUCAGUAAUCAGUUUAACAAUUUUAUUUAGCAAAAACGGUUGAAAUUAUAUCCCUGUUUUACUCCUUGAAACUAUAUAUGUAAAUGUGGAGCUAAAAUAUUGGAUCAGCAUAUUCUUUAUGUUACAAUUUUUGCCACUGUUUUCUUGAGGACGCUUUUAGGUGAAAUGUCAAUAUUAGUGCAUUAUACUUCUAGUUUUCCAUGUUCAUUUUACGUUUUUGUCUUUAACUCUUUAUUUCAUCAACUAAAUUUGUUAUGCCAAUCUUUUAAUUUGGAAGGUUCUGCACAAAGGAGCUUACAAUUCGGUGUAGCAAAGAAGAUAAAGAAUGGUGCUCGCAAGAUUGUUCUGGAUAAAGCUGAAGAAGCAAGGAUUGCUGCUUUCUCAGCCUGUAAGUCACUCGGAUACGAUGUCCCACAAUUCGCUCCACCCAUAUCCACUGCUUUAUGCAAUUCUAUCAGGAAAGAAGUUGGAAUUUCCUCUGGAAGUGACACAGCUGACACUAGUCAUAGCUUUAUUGAUGCAAAUCACAUUGGUAACUCUAAUGUAGCUGCUUUAGAAAAAGAAAAGGACUUGAUUAAAUCAUCCGACAGAAGUGCUCUAGUUUCUGUAGAAGGAAAAUCAGACAGCAUGAAGCCACAUAGUUUGUCUACUGUUCCAGUUGUAGUACCUACAAUAAAUGAGCCCAGUAUGGCUUUUGGUCCUGCCAAAAUUCCUGAUGUUACCACCCUCUCUGUUCAUCUACAGAAACAAAACGAUAAGUCAAUUAUGCAUAAUGGAUGCCAUGCUCAAGGUACAGGGGAACAAAAUCAUAGGGGGAAUUUGGCUAGUGGUAACAUGAUUAACACCAGCCGAAAAGGUCCCAUUAAUGCAGUUAGUAGCCCUGGUGGGCUUGACAUCCAUUGCAUCAAACGAUUGGAAUUGCACUCUGCUGCCCCUUUUGAAAUACAUGGGAUUGCCAUCUGUUGGGAAAAUUCUCCCAUGUACUACAUUAAUCUUCCCAGGGAUAUUCUGUUGUCUGAAAAUAGAAAAGACGACAGUUUUUCUUUGACUGCAUGCAGUUCUAAGCAGAGAGUUUCAUCAUCUAAUUCUAAGCAAGAUUCCAUGCAUAGAUGGAGCAGGAUUAGCAAAAUAAUAGAGAAAAAAGAAGUGAGAAAGUUCACCUGGAAUUUGAAGGUUCAGAUUCAGGUGCUAAAAAAAACCAUCAGUUUCUGUUCAGAGGUUUGGUUCGUUGGACACAAUCGAUAAAAAUAUGCACCUUGAAGUUGUAGACAAUUCCUACAUAUUAUUGCCCCCAAUCCAUGUUAAAGAUGCAAUUGACAUGUGCAUUGUGGCUUGGAUUCUUUUGCCUGAUGAAGAGAGCAGCUCUAGUCCAAACCUAGAUAAGGUAACAUAACUAGUUGUAUUGUACUGCACUGCGUACAUCAUAGGUGUACACACAUGCUUAACUUUGGUUUCAAUUUGUGAUGAUUUGAUAGUUGAGUGUACUAAUAUUAACAAUCACAUUUGGUAUUUUAGGAGGUUAAGAAAAGAUUAUCCCCUGAGGAUGCAGAAGCAGCUAAUCAGUGUGGCAGGUGGAGGAAUCAGAUGCGAAAAGCUGCUCAUAAUGGAUGGUUGCUGCCGUCGGGUUGCUCAAACACGAGCAUUAUGUUCUGUUCUUUGGAAAUUGCUUGUUUCUGAGAAACUUGUAGAAGUGCUUAUGGAAAUAGAAAUCCCAUUGGUAAGAUCCUACGAAACUAUAGUACACUUAGAGAAAAGUGAUGUCAAGUCUGGUGUUACUUUAAAUCUUAUUGCGUUUUUAUACCAGUCAUCGCACAUGUCAAAAUAAAUUAUAUAUUCGAACAUCAAACAUUUAGAGAGAGAAAAAAAGUAGUAUUGAACAAUUUUUUAUUCACUAAGGACCUAUGUGCGGGAGACAUCUUAAACAUUCAUUUGGCACAACUUGGUCUUUUUGUGUGAAUUUUAUAUUUAAGGUUUCUAAUGGCUGAAACAAGUGCAAACACCAAACAAUAUGAUAUGUAAAAACCAUGUACAGUUUUUAUCAAACUGCUUAAACUUCAGUUUGAUUUUUAUUACUCCUGUUCUACUAAUCAAAAGUUAAAUUUCUAAUAUAUAUAGGUGGGUCUUUAUACACUUUUUGUACCUGAAGCCAAAAGUUGUGUGUGAGGGAGUGUAUUAGAUUUUAAACUAGGGGUGUUUAAGGGGUAGGUUAGAUGAGUUAUGUUUGUCCUUUGCUCGCCCCUAAUUUUUAUUGGGGUUAAUAAUGCUUUAACCCCUGUAAUAUAGGUCAUUUUCGGGUUUAUCCCCUGCAAAAAUUUUGUUUUGGUUUUCGUCCUUGUAAAUUUAUUUAUUUUUUCCAGAAUACUCUCCUAAUAGGCCAUUUUCAGAUUUUUUUUUCCAGGAUUUUUGUGUCCCAGAAUACUCAACUAUGACGAGGCAUGCAGUUUAUAAUAUCUUGGGUACGUUCUUGUUAAGUAUAAAAUGGAACGAGUUUCAAUGCAUAGCAAGAUGCAUUGCAGCUAUGAUCUACCCUUCUUUACAUCAUUUUUGAUCUAUAGGAUAGGAAAGCCAAAAUUUUGUUGAGUUGUAUAUAUUGAUCGAACAUUGGCUUGUAUGUUGCAUUGUUGGAAAUAAAAACGUCUUCCCAUAAUGUAUAUAAUGAAAUAAGUUUCCAUUUAAAGUAGUUUAUUCAAAUUAUUAUUUCAUAAUUUUUCUUAGAGCCUUCAAUGUGGAUAGAAAAGUUGAGGAAAAGGUUUAUAUUUUUUACUUGAUCACUGAGUUGUUUUGGGUGUACCGAGAUCUUGAGAUGAAAUUGGUUAAUAUAAAAUAAAACAAGCUUAACUAUAAUGAAGAAGUGAAAAUAUUAAAGUUCAAUAUGAAAAUCACUGAUUUUCACCCAAAUGACUGAUUUUCACCAUAUCAUAAAUUAAGACACAUGUAAUACAUCAUAGCAAAUAUAUCUUACCUAAAACUGUAAAAGUAAAACAAAUAGCACUGGUUCAGAGACAAAAGAAAUGGUAGAGAAAAUAGAGAAACACUCUAGUAGCUUCCUUAUUAUUCUUUAACAUUAUAGAGACUUCCAUAUUAUUCUUUAGUGUUCUAGAGACUUCUGCAUUUUUCUUUAGUUCUCCAUAUUAUUCUUCAUCAAGCACACUUGUAAUAAUACAUCAUAGCAAAUGUAAAAUACUUAAAACUGAAAGUAAAACAAAGUGAUAGUUGUAAAAUCCUAGAAUCAGUUUCACAGUUUAUUUUUAUACUAUAAAAACUGUGUAACUAUUCUUGGAUGUCACCAAUAGGAUUUGUUUGUUUCUACUUGCGAAUCCAAACAACAUGAUCCUCAGGUAGGAGGUGACAAACUGGAACAGUCCCAGGUUGAACUUUGAGUACUUGAAAUGCCAAAUGUUUUGGGUUCCAUUCUGAUGUAUCAGUGUGACACACAGCAAUAGCUUUAACUCUGCUUCCAUCAGCACCCUCCAAAGGCACAGAGUAAGCUUUAGUUGUAUCUGUUUUGUGACAGUAAAACACUGCAUAAGGGUAAUUCUCUUUGUGACACACAACAGCUUUGUUCUUCUCACCCAACUUCUUCACUCCAGAUGCUAUUGUAUAUUGUUGUAAAUUACUUUCUUUGUUCACUUCUGUUGAAACAGCCUCAACAUUUUUACCAAGUUUAGAAGUAGUGAAAUCAACCAUAGACUCCAAUGAUGUUACACAAACCUUUUCCUCUCCUUUGAUCCCUUGCUCUUCACACUCACUGAUGGUGUUCUUCACAAUCUGAACACCCUUUGACCCUUUCUUGAUGUUUAACUUGUUGAUUAUGUAUUCCACCUUGUUUAAUGAAAAAGGUAUUGAAUUAGCAACUUGGCGCGGCAAGAAUGUUGCCGCAUUUGAAGUGGUCUUAGUGAAUUGCAAGUUCAGUUUUGUUCCAUGAUGCAAGUCCUUUUCCAAAAAGAAGAGUGCUACAUUUGGUUUAUCAUGUAACUGAGUCUCACUUGCAGCAUAAUUGUAACUAAAUGGAGAACGUCCAACUCCAACAUUCAUAUCAGUGCCACCUCCUUCAUAGUAUCCCUUUCUGACUCCAACAUCUACACCACCCUUGCCUGCAUCAACCCAAGUUCCUUUCUCUUCACUCCAAUAUCCAGCUUCGGAUAAAUAGAGUAAAUUGAAAUAUAUUAAAAUUUAUGUGAUAGUUAUUUUUACUUUGAUCCAUAACUUUUUAUUUAUUUUAAAUUUAGUCCUUCAUACAUCAUGAGUCCUUUCUGAUAGAGAUUAUAUGAUGGAAAUGAGAUUUAGUUCAGAUACACUGUCACUGUAAAGUUUUACACUAUGAACAAAGCACAAUCAAUCAUAUGUGUGAUUUUUGAAGUAAUUAUGGUUAAAGUCAAAUGUUAUUAAUAAUUUGAAUAUUAAAAUUGUUUGACUGUGUAAUUUUCUUUUUACACGGACAAUGUGCAUGAAUUAAAUCCUAAAAUGAAAUCAUUUUAAACAUGUGGAAGUAAAAUACCAUCCAUAUAUAAAAUGAGCAUGAGGGUUUUCAGAUAUUAUAUAGAGAUCAGUUUUAGACUAUGAUACUAACCAGGGUGUAGCAGAUUAGUGAUGGCUUUUGGCAUCAAAGAGGUUGGAAGCAUGGAUUUCCAGUAAAGUUGAGGAGGUAACAUUGUAGCAUUAGUUGCCACUACCACAAGCUACAUUUGAGAAUAUUUUAACAUUAGUAAAUUAUUAUUUUGACAAGCAAAUAGUUUAAUUAUUUGAAGAAGACUGGUUGAAUUUAUGUAAUUGAAGCUCACCAUGAAAAAAGUAAUGGUGUGAACAAGAUGAAAAUCCAUAUUGGAUUAGUGAAGCUGAAACUCUAAAGGAAAAAAAAUGAUAGUCUUUACUCUUUUGGAAGAAAUGAUCAAGAGAAGUUGAGAUGGAAUGAAAAACAAAGGUGCAUGUAGCCUUUAUAUAAUAGUGAAUGGUAUGGGGCAGCACUUGGGUGACAUUGUGACAUUGGUCAACCACAAUGUUACAACUGGCUUUUCUUAUUUCUCAUUCAUAAGGUCUUUUUGUUUUUUAUACACUUAUGACAUUGUGGUUGGCCAAUGUCGCCAAUGUCACCAAUGUCACCUAAGUAUUAUUCGAAUGGUAUGUAACUAUUAAAACGGAGAUUUAUAACAAUGUAUCAACUAACUUAUUAAUUCAACUCCACCUGGCUCAACUAUGUGAGUUUUUGUUAAGGAAAAUUCUAUGAUGAAGUUAUGAGAAUGACUUUUUUUGCUGAAGUCAUGAGAAUGAUCAAUCAUUGAACAUUUGUGUAUUUAAUGUAUGUCAUGUCAAAUUAUACAGUUUAUUGCACAUUUACUUAUACGAUGUUCCAUUAUAUCUUUACUAAUUGCAAUUGUGUCCUUGAUUAAAUCAAAAUUAAACAUUUUUAUUAUUAUUUUAUUUUUUAAUCUUAAAACUUAUGCAUCUAAAUUGGAUACUACCAAUUCCAUCUUCCCCAUCUUCGCACAAACUGAAUGUGAGAUUGAUUCCAAAUUUCUUAGUAGCUACAUCAAAAUUCCAGAUCGAUUUCUUCCUCCCUUUCUCUCCAAAAUUCAUCUGCUCCAACACCUAAAAUGGUCCUGAAGAGUAGGUCAAUUCAUCGAAAUUCCAUAUUAAAAAAGCAUCAGAACCAAUAAACAGGUGGAGGGUGAUGGAUGUUAUAUGAUUCAUGAUAUUUAUUGGCAAGGGGUAAAAUUAGGCUCAAUUUCUUUCUGAUUUUCUUUUCAUGCAGUUUCAUAGAAAGUCAUCCGUACAUGCACAUAAAGCUUGUCAUAUGUAGUUGUAAUUUCAACCUUAGGAUUUUGAUAUAGAUAGUUUUACCAAUUCAAUUGAUGUUGGUAUCAGAAGUACUAUGUUAAGUACUUUGAAAUCUUGAGGAUGUGUUAUAAUAUUUGAAGAUGAAGAAAAAUGAAUAAUUUUCAGAUGAAGAAGAAAGGACUAAUAAAAUGAACAGAUGUAGAACAAAAAUGAUUUUAUUUUAAAUAAAAUAAGUUAAUAAAUCAAAAGUAAUUAAUAUUUUGUAUGAGGACUAAGUUGUAAUAAAGUAAAGUUUAGUCGUAGAGUGGUCCAUCAACAAGACAUUAGCUGACAUGAUAUCAACUACUAUGUUAUUGGUUAAAUAAAAUGACUUUUUCAAAAAAGUCAUUUUCUUGACAACACCAUAGAAGCCUCCGUUUGUUAAAUGUGUAGUUUGGUUAAACAUAUGGUUGUAGAUGCCAAAGUGUGUCAUGCGAGUUUAGUUUUGCUGUCGGUAACACUAAAAGCGUCAUGAGAAUAAUGAAAAAGUUACUCGAGUAAAAGAAGAGAGUAAAAGCAAUUAAAAGAAAAACGGUUCGCUUUAUCAAUAUCCUCGUGAGUUUAACUCUGCUGGUAGGAAUAAUGCAUAAUAUAUGUAAGGUUCGGAGUUUAAACUUCGGCCACCACAAAAAAAAAAAAAUUUGACAUGUAGCUUACGAGUUAUGAUCCUCUCUAUUUUCAUUUUUUUUUUUAUAAUUUGAUUUCGCUCCCAUACGUGAGUUCGCUCAAUUGCGCCAGAAAUAUUUGUUUGAUUAGGAUUGAUUAGGGUGAGUUCACCUUGUUUGGUUUUACUUCUUUUUAUUUUUAUUUUAUAUUUUACUUCUUUUUUUUGCCUAAAAAAAAGGAAAAGAAAAACUAACCUCUUUGGUUGAUUUGACGUGUGCCUUACACGUUACAAUUAUUUUCGUGUUUCAGUGAAAUUUUGCAAAAUCUAGCAAAUGAGUAAAUGAAUGUGAUAAUAUGAAUUAUGAUGAGACACUUGUAAAUGGUCAACUUGUCAUAAAUUUCAUAGGAAAAUGAUAAAAGUUGCAGUUUGGAUAGGAAAAUGUAGUUUUCAAUAGAAUUUUUUUUUCUGUGAAAGGAUCUCUUAGGAAAAUGACAAAAGUUGCAGUUUGGAUAGGAAAAUGUAGUUUUCAAUAGAAAUAUUUUUUUUUUUUUCUGUGAAAGGAUCUCUUUUAAAUUUUUGAUUAAUAGAGCAUACAAUUUCUUGGGUCCAAAAACAAUUUUUUCCUAAAUCACUAGGAAAGUACGAAUAUCAUACAAUUUGUAAUAAAUUUGAACUACAUUUAAUAGAUUAUUGUAUUUCUUUUUUUUUCAUUCUAAUAAAUAUUUUUACAUGAUCCAUCUAGAAAAAUCAUUUUUACAUAAUUCUUUAUACGACCCUCCUAGAUUAAUGACCGUACAAAAAAGAUAAAGAUUUUCAAAUCAAUACAAAUAUCAUAAAAUAUGUGAUAUGAAUUUUUAAUAUGAUUUUUUGAGAUUGAAAAUAGGUGAUACGAAUAACAAAAAAUAUUGUGUGGAAUUAAUUUUUCUCCCUAUAAAUAUCUUAAAUUUUGUUUUUAAUUCUUCUAAAUACACAAAAUCGUAAAAAUAAAAAGAAAAAAAAAUCAGAAAAUGUGUCACAACUUUGAUGAAAUUUUGUAUUUCUUUUUAGAUAGAUAAAAUAACAAAGACAUUAUAAAUUCAUACACACAUAAGUGGAGGUUCGGGGUUCGAACCCUAAUCAUACGUUCGAUUAACAAUUUCAGCAUUUUUAUCAGUUGAGUUAAGAUUUAUGGACAUAAAAUUGUAUAUUUAAUUGUGAUGAAAUACAAUAGUAAAAUAAAAGAAGACGACAUACCUCUUCUAUCCAUUUCACAUAUGUAGGCAAUAUAUCACGCAUUAUUAUAAGAUCAUUUACAAAAAAAUUGGUUGUACAUAAAUAUAAAGAUCAUCUAUAAACUUCUUUUUUUUAAAAAAAUAACGAUAUUCAUUCAUUCAAAUCGAUAAAGUAUAUCGAUAUAAUACAAAUUCAAAUUCACUAAAAACGAAAAGGACGAAUCUGUGAGCAAACUCACAACAUCCAUGUUAAUAGCAUAAAACGACAAAGUACCUAUGCCUACAAAUAUGACUAAUAUGACUAUAUUCAAUUCUAAGGAAUACUCAUGUCUCCAAUCUGCAACGUUGACGACGCCUAACCCAUUGUCAUUGAUCGAAUCUGCACUUGUGCAAAGUUAAUCUUUCAACCUAGAUCAAAUAAACACCGUACUAAGACGGAAAAUAAAAAACACAUCGCAUAAAGACGGGAAAUCAAAACAAACAUAGUCGUUCAGAGACGACGAAAUCACAAAAACAAACGAAAGAAAACAGAAAAUAUGUGAAAUCACUUAUUCAAUUAGGAUAGAAGGAAAAACAACUCGGAGGGGUGAUUUUUGGGUCAAAAUUGACCCUAAAUCACCCCUCUGACAAGAAGAAGAAGAAGAAAGGAGUGACAGAUGGCAAUGGGUACCCAAUGGAUAGGGUACUACAAUGCCCUUCCCCAUGUCCGCAUUUAUAAAAAAAAUACCCGUACCCGUGCCCGUACCCUCGUGGGCAACAACUUUAGCCCCCUUCCCAAUAUCCUGCGGGUACUUAAGUGCCCAUACCUGCACCCAUUACCCACACUUUAACUAUGAAAAGACAAUAAAAACAUCACAAAUGAAAUAAAACUACGGUCCCAAUUUUUAAAAAUUAACUCAUAAAAUAAUACGAAUCGUAGUAUUUAGUCAAAUAGAAAACAUCCAAAAUAUCCCUAAAAAAUUAUACACUGGCCUGAUGGAGUUGUUAUUGUAUUAAGAAGUUUUUUUUGUUUGAGUUUAAGUUUAGACUUAAAUAGCUAAAUUAAUUAAUUAAUUAUACACAAAAAAUAAAUAAUUUAUGAUAUUAUAUAAAUAUGUAUAAGCGGGGUUGUGCCUCUGGGCAGUAUAGUACCCUUACCCGUGCCCAUAUCCAUUUAAUUUUGUGGGUAUUACCCGGACCCGUACCCAGACCCAUAAAAGUGGGAUUUUACCCUACUCAUUGUGGAUAUUUUUUACGGGUACCCAUUAGAUCUGGGUCCAGUUGUCAUCCCUAGGUGAUGACUAGGGUUUGAGAUCAUCUAUAAACUUUUAGAUGCACUUAUUAUUUCUCUUUUAAAUAUUUCCUUAUUAAUAUUAUCAAUUAAGAUAAAUUUAUUACUUCAACUAUAUAUUUUAAUGUCCACAUUUUUUGUUAAAUAGUCCAUAAAAAUGGACGGAGGAAGUAUUUUUUAUAUUUUUAAAUAAUAUUUCCUCCGUUUCCUAUGGGGCGGGUGGUUCAACUCCAAUUUCUUUGCAAUAUAAAUAAGUGUGAUUUAUCCGGCAAACACAACCCAAUUGCUAGUUAAAGGACAAUUACAUAUAGAGUUGGUUCUUAAAAAAAAAUUAUACACAGAGUUGGGGUUCGAAUUCCAAAAUCCUCGAUCUCCACUUCUCCAUAUAUAAAAUAGUAUUAAGUGAUUUACCGUCAACUAUCAAAACAUUUUUGCAUUUAUUGACCCUGAGCCAUUUCAAAUUAGAUCUAAAUUCUUCUUUGACUAAGAUCUUUAUGAACUUAAUACUAAGUGACUAACUAAUAGACACAACAAAAUCUGACUGUACCUAUUUCCUCUAAAGAUCUGCAAGAGAACUUCUUCUACUUAUUUGCCAAGAAGUUCAUACAAAUUGGUGGAUGAAUCUUAAACCAAGCAAGAAGAGAUGAAGGAAGAACCCAUAUCCCAUCUCCACAAAUCAAACCAGAAGCAACAGCUGGAAUCAUCAAACCUGCUUCCUCUUUUUUCAUCCAACUCCAAACAAACACUACCAAACUCCCCACACACAUGUCAAUGGCAAAGUAAGCACCUACAACAAAAGGUACAGCCAUUGCCAUUGGAAGUGGGACCCACUUUCCAAUAUUUUUAGGAUUCCAAUCUCUCAACAAGUUAGCCAACAAAGCAAAUGCAAAAAACCCAUAACAGAAUUGCAAGCAAUGACUUGGUAGUGCUGAAAAGCCUUCAACACCAAGAAUUGCCAUGUUUCUAUAGAUGAUAGCAUAUGGUGAUUUGUAUUCACCAUCAGGGUUUCCAACAUCAUAUGUAUGAUAGAAAAUAGAGGCUGUGAGUGGUGCUACAACACAACCUAUUGCUGUACCAAUUGUUUGUGAUACAAGCAUUGAUCUUGGUGAAGUUAGAGUUAAAUAACUAGUUUUAAAAUCUUGCAUUAAAUCAGCUGAAGUUGAAGCUAGCGAUUUUAUUAGUCCACAUGCUACAAGUCCAGCAACAACACCGUCACUUUUUCCUCCUAGGGCUGCAAGAAUGAAAAGUGCUACUUUUCCAUAGUUAUAGGACAUGUUCAUGUCGGUUAAGCCGGCACCAUAAGCAUUGCAGAAGCCAAGAAUUGGUGCUAGGAGAUAAGCAACCACCACAAAGUACCACUUCACUUGUGGGAAUAUGUGAGGGAUAACUGUGAUUGAAAUUAUGGUGAGUCCUAGAUACCCUACAAAUGCUAACCAUAUUGGGAUGCUUUCUUUUACAAAAAAUUCAUCGCGUGUUAGAUCGUCUAGAGUCCGGUUCUGGCUAUUAUCUUUAAAGGAAUCUGUUGUGAAAAAAAUAUACACACAUUAGAUUCAUUGUUGUCCAAUUGUGGCUAUAGUUUUAUAGUGUAGCAGAAUAUAAUAAAUCACUGUUGUUCUGUGAAAAGUGCUAAAAGGCCAUAUAUUUACCUGCUUUGUGAUCCCUCUUUUUCAUACAGGCCUGAAAAUUUAAGGCACUGAAAUAUAUAAUUUUGAUAAAAUUGUAGAGCCCAUCACCAAGGAUUAAUGAAAUGGAAAUAAAAACCUGCAUCAUGAAAAUAAAUGAAAGUUAAGGCUUAAAAUGGAAAAAAUAACUCAAAAUCUGUUCUAAUAUAGUGUCCUUCAACUUUUGUUCAGUUAAAUACCUUAUAUCCAUUAAGGCUCUUCAUGCUACUCUCUGGUAAAGUUUCAGGGAACCAAUUUCCUUUUAGUACUCUGAUCAACGGCCACAGAAUACCCCAUGAAACCACAGCACCAAAAAGCAAUGAUAAAUUGACAAGAUGAGAACAGAUCAUUCCUGCUCCAACAUAUGUCAUGCUGAAAUCAAAGUAAAAUCUGCAAAAAAAUAUUAAACAUUCU
Molecule: long non-coding RNA, 18026 nt
Filed under: Medicago truncatula (barrel medic)
Lineage: Eukaryota; Viridiplantae; Streptophyta; Magnoliopsida; Fabales; Fabaceae
Description: long non-coding RNA (MTRU_LNC008638)
Source: RNAcentral